RNAcentral lists this ribosomal RNA (253 nucleotides) under uncultured bacterium. RNAcentral describes it as "partial 16S ribosomal RNA". It matches the Rfam family "Bacterial small subunit ribosomal RNA", at positions 524 to 776 of the family's 1533-position model. The record is from RNAcentral.
UACGAAGGGGGCUAGCGUUGUUCGGAAUUACUGGGCGUAAAGCGCACGUAGGCGGACAUUUAAGUCAGGGGUGAAAUCCCAGAGCUCAACUCUGGAACUGCCUUUGAUGCUGGGUGUCUAGAGUAUGGAAGAGGUGAGUGGAAUUCCGAGUGUAGAGGUGAAAUUCGUAGAUAUUCGGAGGAACACCAGUGGCGAAGGCGGCUCACUGGUCCAUUACUGACGCUGAGGUGCGAAAGCGUGGGGAGCAAACAGG